RNAcentral lists this long non-coding RNA (6521 nucleotides) under Sus scrofa (pig). RNAcentral's name for it is "lncRNA (ENSSSCG00025005604.1)". The record is from RNAcentral. Lineage: Eukaryota; Metazoa; Chordata; Mammalia; Artiodactyla; Suidae.
UGUGGCACAUGGAGGUUCCCAGGCUAGGGAUCAAAUUGGAGCUGUAGCUGCUGGCCUAUGCCACAGCCACAGCAUCACAGGAUCUGAGCCGUGUCUACAACCUACACCACAGCUCAUGGCACAAUGCCAGAUCCUUAACCCACUGAGCGAGUCCAGGGAUCGAACUCACAACCUCAUGGUUCCUAGUCGAAUUCAUUUCCACUGCGCCAUGAUGGGAACUCCCCCUAAUUUCCCUUUCAGAUAGUUCAUUGGUAAUGUAUGGAAAUACUUCAGAUUUCUGCAUAUUAAUUUUCUAUCCUGCAACAUUAUGGAAUUCAUCGAUGAGCUCUAGUAGUUUUUUUCUUGGCCUCUGUAGGAUUUUCUAUGGAUAGAAUCAUGUCAUCUGCAAAGAGUGACCUUUUUACUUCUCCCUCUCCAAUUUGGAUUUUUUGUUUCUUUUUCUUAUCCAAUUGAUGUGCUGGGGACUUCCAACACUACACUGAAUAGCAGUGUGAGUGUGGGCAUCCUUGUCUCAUCUCUCUACCUUAGAGGAAAGAUUUUCAGGUUUUCACCAUGGAAAGGUUUUCAGCUUGUCAUAUAUGGCCCUUAUUAUGUUGAGAAAUGUUUCCUCUGUACCACUCUCUGGAGAGUCUUUACCAUAAAUGUAUGUUGAAUAUCAGCAAAACAAUUUCUGCAUCAAUUGGCAUGAUCAUAUUUUUUAUUCUUCAGAUUGUUAAUGUGUUUACAUGAUUGUUGUAUGAAUAUUGAACUAUCACUGCAUCUGUGGGAUAAAUCCCACUUGAUCACAGUGUACGUUCAUUUUAAUGUAUUUUUGGACUCAGUUUGCUACUAUUUUGUUGACGAUUUUUGCAUCUAUGUUCAUCAGUGAUGUUGCCCUGGAAUUUUCUUUUUUGUAGUGUCUGUCUGGUUUUGGAAUCCAUGUGAUGCUGGCCUCACAAGCGUUCCUUCCUCUACAAUUUUUUGGAACAGCUUGAAACUAGGUGUUAACUCUUCUCUAUAUGUUUGGUAGAAUCCACCUGUGAAACAAUCUGGCCCUAAACUCUUGUUUGUUGGGAAUUUAUUUAUUACUCAUUGAAUUUCAUUACUGGUAAUUAGUCUGAACUUAUAUUCUAUUUCUUACUGGUUCAGUCUUGGGAGAUUGUACAUCUCUUGGAUUUGGUUCAUUCUUCCAGGUUGUCCAAUAUAUUGGUGUAUAGUUGUUCGCAGUAGUCUCCCAGUAUUCUUUAUAUUUCUGUGGUGUCAGCUGUAACUUCUUUUUUAUUUCUGAUUUUUUUGAUUAGGGCUCUCUGGUUUUUUUAAUGAGUCUAGCUAAAGGUUUAUUACAUUGGUUCAUCUUUUUGAAGAAAAAAACUCUGAGUUUCAUUGAUUUUCUCUAUUGUUUCAUUAGCUUCUGUAUCAUUUAUUUCUGAUUUGAUAUAUAUGAUUUAUCUCCUUCUAUUAAAUUUGGGUUUUGUUUGUUCUUCUUUCUCUAAUUCCUUUAGGUGCAAGGUUAGGUUGGUUAUUUGAGAUUUCUCUUGCUCCUGAAGUAAGGUUGUAUCAGUAUGAACUUCCCCCUUAGAUUGCUUUUGCAGUGUCCCAGAUUUGGGAUCACCGUGUUUUCAUUUUCAUUUGUUCUUCUUUGAUUUAUUCAGUGGUCUAUUGGUCAUUAGAAGCAUAGGGUUUGGUUUCAACAUGCUUGUGUUCUUUACAGUACUGUUUUUUUAUGGGUGUGUGUGGUUGACUUCUAAUCUCAUAGCGUGGGGUUGCAAAAGAUACUUGAUACGAUUUCAGUUUGCUAAAAUACUGAGGCUUGUUUUGUGACUUAGCUUAUGCUCUAUCCUGGUGAGUAUUCCAUGUGCCCUUGAAAAGAAUGUAUAUUCUGCUGCUUUUGGAUGGAAUGGUCUACAUUUAUCUAUGAUGUCCACCUCAUCUAAAGUGUCACUUAAUGUUUCUUUAUUGAUUUUCUCUCUGGAUGAUCUGUCCAUUGAUAUGAGUGGAGUGCUAAAGGCCAGUACUAUUAUUAUGUUACUGUCAACUACUUCAUUUGUGUCUGUUAAUAUUUGCUUUAUCAAAUUGUCCUAUUUCAGCUGCCUAUAUAUUUCCAUACUUCUUGGGUUGAUCCCUUGGUGAUUAUAUAAGGUCCUUCCUUGUCUCUUAUAACACUCUAUAUUUGACAUUCUUUUUGUCUGAUAGGGCUACCAAGGCUUUGUUUUUACUUCCAUUGUGGAAUACCUUUUACCAUCCCAUACUUUCAAUAUUUGUGUGUAUUCUGAGCUGAAGUGAAUAUCUCCUAGGCAUUAUAUAUAUCUAGUCUUGCUUUUAGAACCAUUCAGCCAUGGUUUGUCUUUCAAUAGGAACAUCUAGUCCAUUAACUAUUAAAGUAAUGAUUGUUAGGAAUGUACACAUUGUCAUUUUUGCAGUUAUUUUUCUUACAUCUUUUUUUCUGUUUUAUUGUGAUUUGAGGAAAAUCUCUAGUGUUAUGUUAGGAUUCCUUUCUUUUUUCUCUGUGUGUUUAUCUUUUAUAGAUUUUUGGUUUGUUGUUACCAUGUGAUUUAUGCAUAGUAGUCUAUGUAUCUAUGAUUAAUUUAAGGAAGUAAUCUCUUGCUUUCCAAUGCAUUUUAACAACACUGUAUUUUUACACUGUUAUUGUCAUGAUAGAGGGUUUAUUUUCUCUCUCCAUCUCUUUUUUUAACAGCUGCUGCCAUGGCACAUGGAAGUUCCCAGGAUGGGGGUCUAAUUGGAGCAGCAGCUGCUGGCCUAUGCCAUAACCACAGCAAUGCUGAAUCCAUGUAGCAUCUGCAACCUGUGGUACAGCUUGCAGCAACACUAGAUCCUUAGCCCACUGAGAGAUGCCAGGGAUCAAACCCACAGCCUCAGGGAUACUAGUCAAAUUCUUAACCCACUAAGCCACAAUGGGAACUCCUGAUUAUGGUAUUUGCCAUCAUAUUUCAUGUCCAUUUUUCAUGUGUGCCCUAACUUCUUGUUGUGGAUAUAGAUGAUUUUACUACCUUUGUAACUUUCUAUUGGUUCUCGAUGUGGUUGAUUUAUAACCUGUAUGAUACAUUUACCUUGGCCAAGGAGCUUUUCCUGUCUUAAUUUUCAUGUUUCUAGCUUUGGCUUUUUCUUUCUGAUUUAAAAAAGUCCCUUUAACACUUCUGUACAGCUGGUUUGGGGGUUCUGAACUCUUUAAGCUUUUCGCUUUGUAAAACUUGAACUUUCUAUCAGAUAUGAGACACUUGCUGAACAGAAUAUUUCUGCUUUUAGGUUUUUCUGCUUCAUCACUUUAAACUAGGAAUAAAUGAAGAUUUCUACCAUCUAAUACAUGGUAUUUACAAAAUACUGCAGCUAAUCUACAUUAUUGGAGAAGAGCUAAAAUCUUUCCCCCAAAAUCAGGAAUUGGAAUCUAGUAAGGUUUUCUGUUCUUAUAACUUCUAUUUGAUAUCUUUCUGAUGUCUAGGCUUGUAGUGGGCACAAGGGAGCAAAAAUAAGUAACAGGUACCCUUUUUCAUUCCUCCAGAGAAGUUGCUUGGGUCCUUAAAAGGAGUAACAACAAAGAUGGAUCCAUGGGUUGGGCAAAAAAUGUAGCUUGUGUGGUCUUCCCACCCCCUUAGUGAUGUUGUAUGCAGGGACUAUGUGAAGUACACGGAUUUUCCUCCAGGCAUCUCAGAAGCCUUUUUGUGUCUUAUUGUUCAUAUUUGCCCCAACUGCACAUCCAAGGAGUUAUCAUUAGUCCCUUAGCAGUCUUUGUAUUCCGAUGCUCAAGGACAUUUGUCCAGGUGCAAGCUCUCCGGCAAACAGUCCCACAUCCCAGAUCUGAGCCUAUUUUAAUGUCAAGUCCAGCUGUAACAAUUAGACAUUUAAUAGUCUCCACUAACUCUUGUUAAGUGGGAUAAGAGAAUUACUUUAAAGAAAAUCUAGUAGUCCUCAAAUUCCAACCUCAGUCCUUUCAUUAAUCAAAGCAUUAAGGCUGUUUUUCUUGAAUUUUGCACUGCUUCAUUUACUGAUGGAAAGAGCUCAGGCAGUUUUAAAGGAACUCAUUGGGCAAGCCUCUCAGAACCAUGCAAAGCUGAACGAAGCAAAUGUCAAAAGUGAGAAGAACAAAAGUACCACCCCUUGGCCUUAUACCAUGUGCAUCCCAAUUAUAUGUUGAGGUAUUAAAGCCCUCCAGCCAAAAGCCCUCAGGAGCACAGCUAUGGAUGAGUUGGGUUGGAUUUGGCACUCCUUGCAGUGGGGAGGACAUAAACCCUGGGGAAUUGUACACAGGUGCCUUACUGCAGGGGUUUUAGAACAGGCUGAUUACAGGAUUUGAGCCUGUGUCACGUGAUUUGGGGAGCAGUUUGGGGAAGGAGCCCUCUGCUCUGGAUUGGUGACUUGAAGGAAUACAAGUCAUGCUGUGACUGGGUCUUAACAAAACUUAUCCAGAAGGAGAAGAGACUAGAGUGAGGCAAGAGCCGCAGUUGGUAAUGAAGCUGUACUCACUCAUUGCAGAGAGCCUGGAUGUUUAGUGGGAUUUCAUGGUUGCACACCGACCUGGUUUUGUCUUUAUUGAUACAAAAUUAUGAACUGGUCAGAAGUUGAAAGUCGCCGAGAGCCCUUGAGUGAUGUUGGUGUUUGUAAAAUUGUGUCCAACAAGAGAGCCCCAUUUCCAAACUGAGAGCCAGGUCAAACCCCAACAAUCCUGAAACCCACAUUCCCAGACCUCGGGAUCUCCCUCCCUCUUUCUCACCUGCUAUGUCACUAUAGGUAAGUAAAGAAUUAUGUGUCAGUUAAUAAUAGAGUUUAAUGGAAUCAAAGCAAACAUUUGUGCCGAGGAAAUGUUGACUAGUGCAUUCACGUAAGAGAAAACUCUAGUCAUGGAUGAUAUACCUAAGAAUUGUGUCUUGUUUUUAAAACUUGGAUGAAUUUGUAGCAAGUCCAUUGAUUCAGAAUAACACAAGAAAGAACUAGGUAAAAGGCAACCUAUCUGUCACUUGAAUUGACUAAACUCUUGGACAACCAUCACCUCAUCACUUAGACAAAUACUCUUUGGAUAUUGCUCAUUAAUUACUUUUUAUUUGAAAGCCAAUGAAGUGAUCAGAAUUAAGAUUUAGAUGGUAAGGCCAGAAAGUAAUUGCAGAUCAGCAGAUUAAGGGACAUUCUGGCCCAUUCCAACAGGGUUAAUUGCAGAAGGCCUUGGCUGAUUCCAUCGCAGUGACAGCUCUCAGCAAAAUAGUAAGUGAAGAAUUGGAUAUGAACCUAAAACAGAAAAAAAGGCAUUAUCGGGAGUAUUCAAAAAUUACGAAGGGUGUGACUUCAUUCCUUGGAAUAUGCAAGCAGACUAACAAAUAUCAAAUGUUUCUGAACUCGUAGAGUUAAAAAUACCAUGAGAUUUGCAUUUCUGGAAGAUAGACACUGAAUUCCUGUCACUAAGAACUGAACAUGCUGUAGCCUGGGAUGAAAAGCCUUGGUAGGCAGAGAAAAUAAGGGGAAAAAAGAAAGAAAAAAAAUAGUUAGCAUGGAUUAGUUUUCCCAUAUAUUAUGGCACAAUGGAAUCCAGCUUUCUUCUGAUAAGAGAUAAACAUUCCUGUGCUCACCCAGAGGCCACCCCAUGCAGCUCUUUGAGGCAGUGCCAAGCAUUGGCUCAAACACUAAAAGAGUCUAAAACAGAUUCCUCAGAACUUUCAUUGUUUCUGUACAAAUUCAUCCCCUUUCUUACUACACAAGGUUCAAGGGAAAGUUUCUACGGCAAUUUUUCAUUUUAUCGCCUGUCAAAUCUUUCCUCCAUAGAGAUACUGUGAGAUUUAAAUUGAACUGUAUAUGUAAAUUUUACACCACACUUCCUGUUGUAUAUUCAGAAUCAACCACAAUUGACAUAGAUUUCACCUGGUUGUUGAAGGAAAGAGGAUAGUGCACCAGAAAUAAGAAGACUGUACUGUGAUGCUCAAUGGAUUUCCAAAGUCCAAGAGGUAUUCUGAGUAACACUCAAAGCUUUCUGCCUCAAGGAAGCCUCAAUGUAAAGCUCUUUUCUACUUCUGGAAAAUCCUUUACAGGAAACAAAGAACUUUCUGAUUAAAAAAAUAAAUAAAUAAAGAAGUACCUGACCAUAUGGAAGCAACGUAUUUAUGUCUCUCCAGUGAGAUUUCUAUGAAAGAUGAAUUUUGCCUAUUAUGUGUCAAUAUUUCAAGAGCCACACAGGUAAACUUGGUAAGCAAGUGACUACAAACUCGUGACCUCUCUGACGUCUGUCUGUUGACUGGAUUUGUAAAUCCACAAGGAAAAAGAGAAUAAUGAAAGAAAAGAGGAAGUACUUAUUGGGUGGACUUACACAAUGGAGCAAUGGUAUGGGCAGCUGUGGUCUUGUGGGCAGUGGUCGUGGUGGGAUGAGCUGCAGUGGUGGUGGGAGCAGUUGUAGCGGCAACAGCUCUAGAUGUGGUGGAAGCAGUUGAAGUGGCAGCAGCUCUAGAUGUGGUGGCAGCAGUCCUGGUGGGAGCAGCUGUAGUGGCAGCAUCAUUGGUCAUGGUGGCAUCAUCAGGAAAUGCAAUUGGAAGGAAACAUUCCAGUCA